RNAcentral lists this ribosomal RNA (253 nucleotides) under uncultured bacterium. RNAcentral's name for it is "partial 16S ribosomal RNA". It matches the Rfam family "Bacterial small subunit ribosomal RNA", at positions 524 to 776 of the family's 1533-position model. The record is from RNAcentral.
UACGGGGGGGGCAAGCGUUGUUCGGAAUUACUGGGCGUAAAGGGCUCGUAGGCGGCCAACUAAGUCGGACGUGAAAUUCCCAGGCUCAACCUGGGAACUGCGUCCGAUACUGGAUGGCUUGAAUCCGGGAGAGGGAUGCAGAAUUCCAGGUGUAGCGGUGAAAUGCGUAGAUAUCUGGAGGAAUACCGGUGGCGAAGGCGGCAUCCUGGACCGGCAUUGACGCUGAGGAGCGAAAGCCAGGGGAGCAAACGGG